AUGGGGAAGGAAAACAAAAUAACAGAUGGAUCAUCAGAUACAUUUGAAUAUGUGGAAAAUUGUAUCAAGAGGCUGUUAGAGAAUACGGGAAGAAGUAAUCUUAGAAACAAAGAAGCUAAACAUGAAAAUACAAGAGACAGAGGAUGGCACAAUGGUCUCACAUGCUCAGGAAGGUUUGAAAUGUGGGGUUAAGCACACUAACAUGGAAGUUGAAACUCUUGGGUCCAAAUCCUGGCUUUUCUAGUUACCAGCCUGGUGCAUCAGUUUACUCAUCUGUUAAAAGCAGAGGAUGAUGAUGAUAAUGAAGAUGAUGAUGAAAAUGAAGAUGAUGGUACCCAUCUCCUCAGGUUGACGAAAGGUGAACUGAAUUGACACAGUGAGAACAGAGUACACUGGACUCACUCAUGAAGUAUGUUAGCUGCUAUGGUCAUGCUUUCCCUCUUUGUUUUCUGUGUAGCUAGUGAUGGAAAUAUCAAGCCUUCCAACAAGACUGUCCCUUACCAUAUUUUCUUUCUUUUGUUAGCCUUUAGAUUUUUUUCUGAUUAUAAAGGUUAUACAUGUUCAAGGCAAACCACUUAUAAAAUGUAGAAAGACAAGGCGGGGCGCGGUGGCUUACACCUGUAAUCCCAGCACUUUGGGAGGCUGAGGUGGGCGGAUCACCAGGUCAGGAGAUCAAGACCAUCCUGGCUAACACGGUGAAACCCCGUCUGUACUAAAAAUACAAAACAAAAAGUAGCCGGGCUGGUGGCCGGCGCCUGUAGUCCCAGCUACUCGGGAGGCUGAGGCAGGAGAAUGGUGUGAACCCGGGAGGCAGAGAUGGCACCACCACACUCCAGCCUGGGUGACAGAGCAAGACUCCAUCUCAAAAAAAAAAAAAAAAAAAGUAGAAAGACAAAAAGAAAACAAUGAAAACACACAUCAUAUUACCGCCCCCAGUGAUACUGUGAAUAUUUUUAUGUAUUUCCUUCCAGGAAAUAGAUAUUUAUAGUCAUUAGUAUAGUAUGUAAAAAUGAGAGCCUAUUAAAAUGUGCAGCAGUCACUUGUAGAAACCAAAGGAAAAAAAAAUCUGUGUUUGAAAUCUGUUUGUUGCCUGUCCAAGUGCUCACUGCAGCUCACCGGUGUGUUAUGGAGCACAGGUUCUUAAAACUAGUGCCGGGAGGGCUGGGCGCGGUGGCUCAAGCCUGUAAUCCCAGCACUUUGGGAGGCCGAGACGGGCGGAUCACGAGGUCAGGAGAUCGAGACCAUCCUGGCUAACACGGUGAAACCCCGUCUCUACUAAAAAAUACAAAAAACUAGCCGGGCGCGGUGGCGGGCGCCUGUAGUCCCAGCUACUCGGGAGGCUGAGGCAGGAGAAUGGCGUAAACCCGGGAGGCGGAGCUUGCAGUGAGCUGAGAUCUGGCCACUGCACUCCAGCCUGGGCGACAAAGCGAGACUCUGUCUCAACAACAACAACAAAAAAAAAAAAACUAGUGCCGGGCUUACAGCAUCACUUGGGAGCUUGUGAGAAGUUCAAACUCCCUGGCUGCACCUGCUGAGUCAGAGAGCCUGGGGUGGGCCCAGCAAUCUGUAUUUUAACAAGCUCUCCAGAGGAUUUUGAAGUCUGUUCAAAUUUGAGAACCAUUCUUAGAAAUCAAAGUUCUAGCCCAGGUGUGGUGGCUCAUGCCUAUAAUCCCAGCACUUUGGGAGGCCCAGGCAGGUGGAUCACAUAAGCCCAGGAGUUUGAGACCAGCCUGGGCAACAUAGUGAGACUCCAUCCCUACAAAAAAUAUGUGUAAAAAAAAUUAGCUGGACAUGGUGGCACAUACCCGUAGUCCUAGCUACCUGGAAGGCUGAGAUGGGAGAAUCACCUGAGCCUGGGAAGUCAAGGCUGUAGUGAGCUGUGAUCACACCACUGCACUCCAGCAUGAAUGACAGAUUAAGAUCCUGUCUCGAAAGAAAGAAAAGGAAUAAAAGGGGUCAGGCAUGGUGGCUCAUGCCUGUAAUCCCAGCACUUUGGGAGGCCGAGGGCGGUGGAUCACGAGGUCAGGAGUUUGAGACCAGCCUGACCUACAUGGUGAAACCCCAUCUCUACUAAAAAUACAAAAAUUAGCCGGGCGUGGAGGCACGCACCUAUAAUCCCAUCUACUUGGGAGGCUGGGGCAGGAGAAUGGCUUGAACCUGGGUGGUGGAGGUUGUAGUGCGCUGAGAUCAUGCCACUACACUCCAGCCUGGGUGACAGGGUGAGACUCCAUCUCAAAAAAUAUAAAAUAAACUAAAAUAAAAGGAAGGAAGGAAGGGAGGAAGGGAGGAAGGAAGGAAGGAAGGAAGGAAGGAAAGAAGGAAGGAAGGAAAGAAAGAAAGAAGGAAAGAAAAGAAAGAAAGAAAAAGAAAGUCAAAGUUCUGGAAUUAUUCUCACAAGUUAAACAAUAGUUUAAGAAACUCUUGCUCUCUAAGGUCUCACAAGUUUUAAGCCAUGCAUUUAAAAUAGAUGCUGCCAAAAAAGAAUGAACCCUGGGGAAAACAUUCUACUUGCUACACUGAGACACCAUGUUAAAGACAGCAUUAUUUUAAAUGUCUCUGGACUGCUUUUAAAAAGAACUUUGGGUCAUGCAUCUAAUUCCCUUCUAACUUCUAAAAUGGAAAGUAGUUUCCUAUAGUUGGCAUCUAUCAUAUGUAGUUAUAGACAGACCUACUCUGUGACACCAUAGAGUACUCACUCAUUUAUUCAUUUGUCAUUCAUUCAAAUAAUCACCAUUCAGUUCUUUGAAGUAUUUAUUCUCUACCAGUUUCUGGCAGUCCUUUAUGCAUUAGGAAAGAACUGAUCUGUUUUUAUUUUCAGAUUUUAUUUUAAAAAUAUGUACUUUCAAUAGUAUUUGGAAGUUUAUACUUGCAAAGGAUUUGAGUGAAGUAGGAGAUAUUUUCUCUAGAACAUUGAAAGUGUCUGAAGACCCCUUGACCUUCUCCCACACUAGUGCCAAGACAAGAAAACAGGAUUUUUCUGCUCUCUUUGAGUUCUAGUCUCUAGGUACAAAGGAAUUAGAUCUCAGUUACUGGAAAGUUUGCAGAAUAGAGGAAUAGCCCAAUGUCUUUGAGACAUUUUAGGGCAAUGCCAGAAGUCCUGGAAGAAGCGAGCUAAAUAAAAGUUAUCUGGAUGCCCAAAGAGAGCAGAAGAUGGCUUGCUCAAAAUACCACUACUGAGUUUGGCUUCAGUCCCAGACAAGAUUCUAGACUAGAUUAUUAAAAAUAAUAACAAUAAAGUUUGGGAGACUUUUGGAAAAGCAGCAAUUACUGGCAUUCAGCCUGAGAUUUUAAAAACAAAGUAUGUCUGCUUGACCUUUUUCUUUCCUUGACAUUGUUUCUAGACUCGUUUAUGAAGAAAAUAUGAUAAGUACAAGGCCUGGGGCAUAAUAGAGACUCAAUCAAUAUUUGUUGACUGAAUGAAUAGGGCAUUUUGACAGGCUUUUGAUAAGAUCUUUCAUAAACUG
Molecule: long non-coding RNA, 3464 nt
Filed under: Macaca mulatta (Rhesus monkey)
Lineage: Eukaryota; Metazoa; Chordata; Mammalia; Primates; Cercopithecidae
Description: lncRNA (ENSMMUG00000058044.1)
Source: RNAcentral